This is an RNA transcript of Zea mays, 2493 nucleotides long. RefSeq lists it as uncharacterized. The record is from RefSeq and is a predicted model, not a curated record. Lineage: Eukaryota; Viridiplantae; Streptophyta; Magnoliopsida; Poales; Poaceae. The transcript has 9 exons.
UAGUUCCGGAGGGGCACCGACCCAAUGCAGGGGCAGGCGUACAGCCGCCUAGGCAGCUUCGGCGCCGCGGCGAGCGCGCCGCCGCCGCCUUCGGCUCCGGUGCGGCCUGGGGCCGGCGCUGGCGGGGCCAGCCGGACGCCCGCGAAGGCUGGUCCAGCGAGGGCCAUCCCGGGGACCGCGGCCUCGGCGACGGCGGCGGCGCGGGCGGGGGUUGCCCACCGUGGUGGCGGCGGCGCGGCGCGGAGGGUGGCCAGGGCGGUGCUCGCGACACUGCUGCGGAGGCAGGCGGUGUUCCUCUUCGCGCCGCUCCUGUACGUCGCAGCGAUGCUGCUGUACAUGGGCUCGCUCCCGCUCGACGCCGUGCCGCGGAUUAUCGCGCGCCAGCCGCCCGGGUCCGUGUACCGCAGCCCGCAGCUGUACGCGCGGCUCCGCGCCGACAUGGACGCCGACAACUCUACCGGCGCGCAACUGUAUGGAGGCACACUUACAAAGGUGGCACAUGGUGGCCCUGCAUAAACAACAUGACAAAUGGUUUACCUGAAUCAAAUGGCUACAUAUACGUUGAGGCAAAUGGUGGUUUAAAUCAACAAAGGACAUCAGUAGUCGUCUUACCUUAGUGUUUCUUGUUACUCCUGACAUUUUACAUUUUCUGUUAACUGGUAUGUGGUAUCUUUAGUUAUUAACUUAUGCCUCUAUUUUUUGUUUUUUUUGUUUUUUUUCAGAUAUGCAAUGCAGUCGCCAUUGCUGGUUUUCUGAAUGCUACUCUUAUCAUCCCAAAUUUCCAUUUCCAUAGCAUUUGGAGGGAUCCUAGGUGCAUUCCCCACCUCUCAACUCAAAUUUUUAUUAAGUACUGGAACAUACCAUCAACUCCUCAAAUUCAGUGAUAUCUAUGAUAAAGAUCACUUUGUACAACGUCUACAAAAUGAUGUUCGAGUAGUUGACGAAAUUCCGGAUUUCAUGAUGGAGCGAUUUGGUCAUAAUCUCAGCAAUGUGUUCAAUUUCAAGAUAAAGGCUUGGGCACGCAUUCAAUAUUACAAAGAUGUUGUUCUUCCAAAAUUAGUUGAAGAAAGUGCAGAGUCAUCAGGAUUUCUCCUUUUGCCAACCGACUCUCAUUUGAUGCACCUUCUGCUGUUCAACGGUUGAGAUGCUUGGCAAACUUUGAAGCCUUAAAAUUCUCUAAACCAAUUGUAUCUUUGUCUGAAACCUUAGUUUCUCGAAUGAGAGAGAGAAGUGCUGAAAGCGAUGGAAAAUAUAUCUCAGUGCAUCUUCGGUUUGAGGAGGAUAUGAUUGCCUUCUCAUGUUGUGUUUAUGACGGUGGUGAUGAGGAGAAGAAAGAAAUGGAUGCAGCCAGAGAAAUAGGUUGGAGAGGGAAAUUUACUAAGAGAGGACGGGUAAUAAGGCCAGGAGUUAUCAGAAUGAAUGGAAAAUGUCCUCUUACACCUUUGGAGGUUGGGUUAAUGCUUCGUGGAAUGGGUUUCAGCAAUAAGACUGCAAUUUUUUUGGCGUCUGGAAAGAUUUACAGAGCAGAGAAAAACAUGGCUUCUCUUCUUGAAAUGUUUCCUCUCCUACAGACAAAAGAGACACUGGCAUCCGAAGAGGAACUUGCUCCAUUCAAGAAUUUCUCCUCAAGGAUGGCUGCUGUUGACUAUAGUGUUUGUGCCCAAAGUGAAGUUUUUGUGACCACACAAGGUGGAAAUUUCCCACAUUUCCUUAUGGGUCACAGGAGAUACUUGUAUGGUGGGCAUUCAAAAACAAUCAAACCAGACAAAAGAAGGCUUGUCGUACUCUUUGAUAAUCCACGUAUAGGGUGGAAGGCAUUGAAGCGGCACUUGCUUAAUAUGAGAGCACACAGUGAUGCCAAGGGGAUUGAAAUGAAAAGACCAAGCGAAUCCAUAUAUACAUUUCCAUGUCCUGACUGCAUGUGCCGCUUGAACAGAACAGAACACUCUAAAUCCAAACACAGUAGAUAGUAUCUCAUAGUUGCAUUUCCAGACUAACCCUAUUCUUUCUGACAUCCACUUUAGUCUGUUCAUUCUUCAUUUGCUGUGCGGCUUUUCACUUCAUCAGCAAGCAUACUCGCCAGUUGCCACAGCAUUGAGAGCAACCUAUUCUCCGUAUAUAGCGGUUUUUCCUUGUAUAGCAUAUGCCAGAAUAACCCCAGAUUCGUCCGUGGAGUAUUAAACCAAUUGUGAUGCUAACUAUACAUCAUCUGACUAUAAUUCUCAACAACCGAUCUGGCCCCAGUAGGACAAUGAAGUAUCAAAUGUUUUUGGGUAGUAGUAUUGCUGUUGUACAUGGUUCAUUAGCAGUCUGUCAUCAUGUACAAAUUUAAAAUGGUAAACAGGCAUUGUAAAAAAAUUAUCUUGCCCUAAACAUGGGCCCAUAGCCUCUCUGUAUUCUUUUAGCUAGGCUUUCACGGUUGUAACUGUGUCUUACACUUCUAUUCACAAUUCUAACAAUAGAACUGCUCAGUGCAACUUUAUUCUUGCUUCA